UACGGAGGGGGCUAGCGUUGUUCGGAAUUACUGGGCGUAAAGCGCACGUAGGCGGCUUUGUAAGUUAGAGGUGAAAGCCCGGGGCUCAACUCCGGAAUUGCCUUUAAGACUGCAUCGCUAGAAUUGUGGAGAGGUAAGUGGAAUUCCGAGUGUAGAGGUGAAAUGCGUAGAUAUCAGGAGGAACACCGAUGGCGAAGGCAGGUCUCUGGGCUGACACUGACGCUCGAUGCACGAAAGCGUGGGGAGCAAACAGG
This 254-nucleotide ribosomal RNA is filed under the name uncultured bacterium. RNAcentral describes it as "partial 16S ribosomal RNA". It matches the Rfam family "Bacterial small subunit ribosomal RNA", at positions 524 to 776 of the family's 1533-position model. The record is from RNAcentral.